UAAUCUUCUUGGCCUUUUGGCUAAGACUAAGUGUAAGAUGUGUUCUUAUCAAUUUAAAGUCUGAUACAUCCCCUAUAGGAGGACAAUAUAUUAACCACCACUCAUCUGUCAGUUUGUUGUACUGUGGUGGCCUGUGUGUUGCUGUGUUGCUGGAAGCCAUGCUACCAGUA
RNAcentral lists this small nuclear RNA (170 nucleotides) under Loxodonta africana (African savanna elephant). RNAcentral's name for it is "U2 spliceosomal RNA (ENSLAFG00000030527.1)". The stretch from base 1 to 106 matches the Rfam family "U2 spliceosomal RNA". From Rfam's summary of the family: U2 is a small nuclear RNA (snRNA) component of the spliceosome (involved in pre-mRNA splicing). Complementary binding between U2 snRNA (in an area lying towards the 5' end but 3' to hairpin I) and the branchpoint sequence (BPS) of the intron results the bulging out of an unpaired adenosine, on the BPS, which initiates a nucleophilic attack at the intronic 5' splice site, thus starting the first of two transesterification reactions that mediate splicing. Lineage: Eukaryota; Metazoa; Chordata; Mammalia; Proboscidea; Elephantidae. The record is from RNAcentral.